Molecule: ribosomal RNA, 398 nt
Filed under: Pseudo-nitzschia calliantha
Lineage: Eukaryota; Bacillariophyta; Bacillariophyceae; Bacillariales; Bacillariaceae
Description: SSU rRNA
Rfam family: Eukaryotic small subunit ribosomal RNA
Source: RNAcentral
AAGUUGUUGCAGUUAAAAAGCUCGUAGUUGGAUUUGUGGUGUGUCCAGUCGGCCUUCGCUUUUAGUGAUAGCGCUGUACUGGUCUGCCAUGUUUGGGUGGAAUCUGUGUGGCAUUAGGUUGUCGUGCAGGGGAUGCCCAUCGUUUACUGUGAAAAAAUUAGAGUGUUCAAAGCAGGCUUAUGCCGUUGAAUAUAUUAGCAUGGAAUAAUAAUAUAGGACCUUGGUACUAUUUUGUUGGUUUGCGCACUAAGGUAAUGAUUAAGAGGGACAGUUGGGGGUAUUUGUAUUCCAUUGUCAGAGGUGAAAUUCUUGGAUUUCUGGAAGACAAACUACUGCGAAAGCAUUUACCAAGGAUGUUUUCAUUAAUCAAGAACGAAAGUUAGGGGAUCGAAGAUGAU